This 272-nucleotide ribosomal RNA is filed under the name uncultured bacterium. RNAcentral describes it as "partial 16S ribosomal RNA". It matches the Rfam family "Bacterial small subunit ribosomal RNA", at positions 40 to 305 of the family's 1533-position model. The record is from RNAcentral.
CGGCAGGCUUAACACAUGCAAGUCGAGGGGUAACAGGAUUUAGUUUACUAGAUUGCUGACGACCGGCGCACGGGUGAGUAACGCGUAUACAAUUUGCCUUUUACUGGAGGAUAGCCAAGAGAAAUUUUGAUUAAUACUCCAUAGUAUUAUUUGAUCACCUGAUCGAGUAAUUAAAGCUUCGGCGGUAAAAGAUGAGUAUGCGUCCUAUUAGCUAGAUGGUAAGGUAACGGCUUACCAUGGCGACGAUAGGUAGGGGUCCUGAGAGGGAGAUC